RNAcentral lists this transfer RNA (75 nucleotides) under Calditrichota bacterium. RNAcentral describes it as "Calditrichaeota bacterium tRNA-Gln". It matches the Rfam family "tRNA". From Rfam's summary of the family: Transfer RNA (tRNA) molecules are approximately 80 nucleotides in length. Their secondary structure includes four short double-helical elements and three loops (D, anti-codon, and T loops). Further hydrogen bonds mediate the characteristic L-shaped molecular structure. tRNAs have two regions of fundamental functional importance: the anti-codon, which is responsible for specific mRNA codon recognition, and the 3' end, to which the tRNAs corresponding amino acid is attached (by aminoacyl-tRNA synthetases). tRNAs cope with the degeneracy of the genetic code in two manners: having more than one tRNA (with a specific anti-codon) for a particular amino acid; and 'wobble' base-pairing, i.e. permitting non-standard base-pairing at the 3rd anti-codon position. Lineage: Bacteria; Pseudomonadati; Calditrichota. The record is from RNAcentral.
UGGGGUGUCGCCAAGUGGUAAGGCACCGGGUUUUGGUCCCGGCAUUCCCAGGUUCGAAUCCUGGCACCCCAGCAA